GCUAAUCCUUCUAUUCUUUUGUUUUGCGGGGAACUAAUUUCUUUAUUCCUAGUAUAGUACUGGUAUUUCCUUGUACCUAAACAUUUGUUGACGAACAGUAAUACAAGUACCCAGCUAUAAAUAUUAUGGUAUGGAGGGAGUAAGUAGCUAAUAGUAGUUCGGCAGUAAUACUACCGUAGCUAGUACUCCUGAUGGCCAGCCGUCCAAAUGCGGCAUACCGUCGUGCAUGUGGCCCGGCGGUAAGCUGCAGCCCACGACCUCCCGUCCCCAUGCAUGCGCGCCCGCCACACAGCGCCAGCCAACGCGCUACACCGACCAGACACGCCGCGGAUGCAUGCGGCGCUUUUCCGGAGUCUCCAGUCUGAACGCGUGCAUGGCCGGCCGGCCACCAGCACGCAUACGGCGUACUACGUCGCCAAACAGAUAUCAUCAGUCCCGCCGGGCCUCGAAUCAGGGAUCUCCUCCUGGCCGCCCGCUCGAUCUCCGCGGGUCCAUCGGACCAUCGCCCUCGUCUGCCUGUCCGCCCACACGUCAACCG
This 538-nucleotide long non-coding RNA is filed under the name Hordeum vulgare. Its description in RNAcentral is "long non-coding RNA (HVUL_LNC004719)". Lineage: Eukaryota; Viridiplantae; Streptophyta; Magnoliopsida; Poales; Poaceae. The record is from RNAcentral.